RNAcentral lists this ribosomal RNA (208 nucleotides) under uncultured bacterium. RNAcentral's name for it is "partial 16S ribosomal RNA". It matches the Rfam family "Bacterial small subunit ribosomal RNA", at positions 568 to 775 of the family's 1533-position model. The record is from RNAcentral.
AGCGCAGGCGGGACAGCAAGUUGGAUGUGAAAUACCGAGGCUUAACCUCGGAGCUGCAUCCAAAACUGUUGUUCUUGAGUGAAGUAGAGGUUGGCGGAAUUCCGAGUGUAGCGGUGAAAUGCGUAGAUAUUCGGAGGAACACCAGUGGCGAAGGCGGCCAACUGGGCUUUAACUGACGCUGAGGCUCGAAAGCAUGGGGAGCAAACAG